Molecule: RNA transcript, 4779 nt
Organism: Triticum aestivum (bread wheat)
Lineage: Eukaryota; Viridiplantae; Streptophyta; Magnoliopsida; Poales; Poaceae
Exons: 9
Source: RefSeq, a predicted model, not a curated record
GGCCUGGCCCCCCAUACGUCUCCUCUACCAAUACAAUCCCCCCUACCCAACCCUCAUGAAGCUCGGAGCUCAACCUCAUGGCCAUGGCCUCAAGCUCUGCUCCUGCAAAUCCUCCCUCGACCUCUUGGCCACGGCACCCCUCUCAGCCCCAUGGCCUUGCUCUGAACCCCUCAUAACAGCUCCUGCCAAUCCCCUCCUCGAUUUGGUUCAUAGGCUCAAGGGAAAAGGGUAUUCUUCAGGAGAGGAGAACAUCAUAGUACAUGUGAAUGAAGAACCAAUCCAAGCCCCCUCUCAUACCAGGCUCGCCGGAUGGAUCAGAUCGACCGAGCCCGAAGCAAACGAAUGGACCGGUCCAUCGAACCCAGUCUAUCGGCGGCGCAACCCGAAGCACCGGACCCGAGCAACCUCGGUACGGCGCAUACUUAAGCCGCCGCAACCUUAUCCUCCUCCCUCCGAACCUGAAACCCUAGCGGUCGCACCCCCAUCCCCCGCCCCCGCCCCCGCCGUUGAGCAACUCCGGCGAGAUGACGGGAGGGGGAGAGGAGGACGGCGAGCCAGGGCAUAAGACGGUGCUCUUCACCAAGGGGGAGGACACCGGCGGCGACCUCGCCCGCGGCUCCUCCAAGGCCGCAGGCGGCGACUCCUCCAAGGCCGCGGGCGCCGACCUCGCCCGCGACUCCUUAAAGGCCGCAGGCGGCGACCACGCCCACGACUCCUCCAAGGCCGCGGCCCCGACUCCUCCAAGGCCGCGGGCGGCGACCGCGGCCCCGACUCCUCCAAGGCCGCUGGCGGCGACCGCGUCCCCGACUCCUCCAAGGCCGCUGGCGGCGACCGCGUCCCCGACUCCUCCAAGGCCGCUGGCGGCGACAGCGUCCCCGACUCCUCCAAGGCCGCUGGCGGCGACCGCGUCCCCGACUCCUCCAAGGCCGCUGGCGGCGACCGCGUUCCCGACUCCUCCAAGGACACCGUUGGCGACGACUCCCGCGUUCGCCUCAAGUGCACAACCGGCUACUCUCUGAAGCGCACCAGCGACUCUCUGAAAGGGCCCAGCGAUGGAUUCAUUCUCUCAGACGAGGAAGUGUCACAUGCAGAGUAUUUAACCCAUUCACUGAUUCAUGAUAUCGAUGGAUCGCUCAACAAAAUGGAGACACUCAAAAGAGCUAUGUGCUGUGCUGGAUGUGAGGAGGAAGUUUUGCCACUGAAGCGCUCCAAUUACAAGAUGUUGCCUGCUUGACUGCUUGUUCCACCGGUUAGGAUAGGAAGUGGUUGUUCCACCCAUUGUGAUCUGACAUGCUGAACUUAAUUGCUUCUGCAUCAUUGCUUUUGAGUGUUAGCCAUCAUUCCAGUAAUAAUGUUAUCUCAUUUAUUGGUUCUCCCUCCACAUAGAAAUGCUUCUGAUCCUCUGGAAUUUGUUAGUUCAAAUAACAAGAUAUUUAGUGCACUAUUUGUGAAAUGGUUAGUUAUUCAAAUGUAUAACCAUUUUUUUUGGAUUAACUCGGUUAGUAAUCCAGUUACUUACCUUUGCUUUUUCUGUGUACAAUAUACUAAUUGCUGUUUUAAUCAUCACAAGCUUGCCAUAAGUAACCAUAACUACAAGUAUGGAUUGUGAGACGUAUUUUAUCCUGUUCUGUUCCUUCAUAUGCUGUUGUUGUGUACAAUAUGCUGAUUGAUUCUUUUUUGUCAUGUGCUGUCGAUGUCUACAAUCUGCUAAUUGUUGUUUUAAUCAUUUUGAGCCUGACAGAACUGCAAGAAUGUUUAGUGAGACAUAGUUAAUAUUUUUAUUUAUCCCGGCGUGAUCCUUAGUGUGCUGUUGCUGCUUACAAUUGGUUGAUUGUCGUUUAGAGUAUCAUGAGUCUGUCACGAGUAACUUUGUUGCCUUCCAAUAUGUGGGCGUGCAUGUUGAUCUGAUUGCUUUAUCUUGCAUCUCAUAUUGUUGAUGAUGUUGAGGCUGUAUCCCUCAAGUCCAAAAGAAGCUUUAGAAGUUCAGGACGUAUCUGAACAUAUAUUGAGGCGUAAUGAACUUAAUUGCAAUCUCUACAUAAUGAACUUAGCUGCUACAUCAUUGCUUUGAGUUCUUAACCACCUCCUUAGCUGCUCCUCCUAUCUUUUGAGUUCCAGCGAUAAUGUUGUCUCAUUUAAUGGUUGUGCCUCCUCUUAGAAAUGCUUCUUCUCUGAUACAAGUAGAAACACAAGUGGUAAAAUUUGAAGGCUAUUCAGGAAAACAUUAAUCUCGUCAGUGAUACUUUGUCUGCCCAUUUCUCUUUCAUUAGUAUAUUUAUGCAUUUGCUAUUGGUAUUAGAUGUAUAUGAUCAUGUGGAAUUUGUUAGUUGAAAUAACAAGCUAUUUAGCAUGCUAAUUGUGAUACGAUUAAUUAUUCAAAUUUAUAAGCAGAAUUUUUGGGUUAACUCGGUUAAUCAUCCAGUUUCUGUACAAUACACUGAUUGUUGUUUUAAUCAUUGCAAACCUGUCAUAAGUAACCUGUAACUGCAAGUAUGGAUUGUGAGAAAGGUUUUUGAGUCGACUAGUCAAGGGGGUCAAGGGGUUUGAGUCAACCCUGUCUGUGUGACUCGUCGACUAGUCGCGCGACUCAAAACCAGUGAUUGUGAAACAUGUUUUAUCCUGUUUUGUUCCUUCAUGUGCUGUUGUCGUGUAUAUUGUGCUGAUUGUUUCUGUUUCAUCAUGCGCUGUUUGUGCUAUCUGCUCUUUGGUGUUUUAAUCACUUCAAGCCUGUCAAAUCUAACUGCAAGUAUGUAUAGUGAUACAUAUUUUUAUCCCGGUGUGUUCCUUUUUGUGCUGUUGUUGUGUACUAUUGGCUGAUCUAUAAUCAAUCAGUCUGUCAUAAGUGUUCCAAGUGAGAUUAAUUCAUCUGCUUUCGUCCAAGUGUUUCCAUGCUUGUUGUGUUGCAACAUAAUAUAUUGCUUGUUUAUAAUCAUAUGCCUGCCAUCUGUAACUCCCAAGAUGUUGCCUGUAAUCUGCAACUUUUCUGAAGGUGUUGGUGCUUGUUCCACCAAGUGUGCGUCUGUAGCUAAUAUAGGAGGAACACAACCUUAGUUUUUUCCUGGCUAAUUUAGUUUGUUGAUGAGUGAAACAAUGUAUCCAUUAUUUUCUUAACUAAUAGCUCUCAGUUUUAUCCUUUUUUAUGAAAUCUGUGGUCUUGUGUACUAAGUAGAUACCUUUUGUGACACUUUUGUAAACUGCGCAUAAUGAACUUAAUUCCUUCUACAUCGUUUAGUUCUUAACAACUUACCUACCUGCUGCUCCUAAUUUUUGAAUUCCAUAAUGUUUUUACAUGAAUGGUUCUUCCUCCAGUUUUUUCUCUUGGGGAAACCAUAAAGUUAAUCAAUCUCCUUUAUGGCCUUUUUAACUGUUAAAUUGCAUGUUUAUUUUGCAGAAUGUUCAAGAGUGGAAUGUGUUAUGUAUCUUCAUCCUAUUGUGUCCUUCCUGUGCUAUUGUAGUGUAUCAUAUGCUGAUUGUAGUUUUAAUCAUCACAAGCCUGUCAUCAGUAACUGCAUAUGUUGAUUGUGAGAUGUAUCUUUAUCCUGUUGAUUUCCUAAUUGUGUUUUUGUUAUCUACAACCUGCUGAUUGUUGUUUUUAGUCAUCACAAAUCUGUCAUAAGUAACUCCUGGUUAUUGCCUUCCAACGUGUGCAUGUCGAUCUGAUGGCUUUAUCUUUCAUCUCAUAGGGCUGAGGGAGCAUCCAUGACGGCUAGCCAUCUUGAGGUGGUUUCCCCGAGGUCCAAAAGGAACCUGGAAGAUGAGGAUCAAUCUGAACAGAUUUUAAAACGUUCCAAGUAUGACAGUCCUAUUGUUGCCGAAUCACCAUGGGAAUCAUCUGGCCUGAUAGUUGCCUUGAGAAGCGUAAUGCGACGAGGGAAAGACUUGCAUCUGGAGAGGUGUGAUGUUAGGCUUGAGAAGCGGGAGCUUCGGUUGGAGAACCGUGAGGCUUGGCUGGCGAAUCGUGAGGUUAGGUUGGAAAAGCGCGAGCGUCGCUUGGAUCGCUAUGAGAAUCAGAAAGAUCAGAGUUUGGAGCAGCGGAAGGCGGAUUUUGAUAAGAACUGGGAGGGGUAUCAGAAUUGGUUGCUUUAUAAAGCUGCCCUAGAGGACGCCCCCUCUGCUUCCAAAGUGGAUGGCCCCUCUCCUGCCGCAGAGAAGGUCUCUGCUCCUGCCCCAAAGACCUCAGCUCCUAUAGCUGCUCCUGCCCCGGGGAAUCAAACUCCUGGCUCAUUGAACAGAGUUGCGGACGCUGUCAAGACUGGAGUCACCACCGUCACUGAGAGUCUGGAAAGUGCCGACAAAAUGACCACGCUUCUGGAGAAGGUUGUGGCUGCUCCGACAAGAGUGCAGGACCUAAGGAAAAGCUAUGAAGAAAACAAAGCAAUUGUCUCUGCAAUGAGGAAAAGCUACGAGGAUAACACGGAAGUUGGCUCCUCCUUCAAGAGUGUUGUUGCGGGUGUCGUGACCAGCAGCCUGUUGCUUGCAAGGCAAGCUUUGAAGGAUUUGGUACGGGGAGGUGGAGGAGAUGGUGAUGCCGAGUGAUACUUGCGCAAGUUGUCUGGAUCCACCGAUGUUUCAAAUGACGGUGAUUGUCCGCUGUGAGUGGAUACGAAGUUUUGUUGUAUGUUGCUGUUGCUUUUGAAACAGAUGUGCCCUUCCAGAAUUGUUUCAUUGAUCUUACGAUAGUUGCUUGACGAAUUGAUGUGUAUUCCUUGUUUCACGCUCUAAUGUGUAUAUACAUGCUUCUUUUACUUGAUAAUCCAUUUUGGUGAUGGUGAUUCUUAA